GCUACAUUGGUGUCCCACGGGAACACAGCCGGGAGCACAGAGCUGGCUCAGAUACGCGGCACCAUCGCCUNUUGUGUGGUGGUAAGGUUGUUUAAAAUUCAAUGAGAUUUUACGCAAAAAACUAAAUUUAAAAGAAGAUGAUUUUUUGUGUGAAAGAUCACCACUUUCUCAACUCGAACAUCUAGUGUUUCUGUUUACUGUUGAAAGUAGCUUCAGCUGAACUGUUUCCUGUUUCGUUGCCAUCCUUUUACGCAGGAUAAUUUAUCACGUGGGAUUUUCACUUGUCAAGAAGUGAUUCAUAGAGUGCUAAGAGUGAUAUAUACUUGAAGGGAGUUCCACCAUCGGGUGGUCUUGCUGCACUGUCUUGUGCUAGUAUGGAACCAUCUGCUUUGAGUUUCUCGUCUUGUUGUUAUUUUGCAAGCAUUUGCAUGUGAUGAAUUAACUCCCUGUUGUCUGAUUUCGCCGUUUUCCAUCAGCCAUUUCCGCUACUUGGAAGAGUAGCCUUUUGAUUUUCACAUUUGCUAGAAUUGUAUUUUAUUGUGGAACGACUUUAGUCCUUGAUUGCACCAGAAGAUCAUACAUUCAACUCUCAGAUCAUCUCUAGAUUCAUCUUGAGGGCCAGAGACGAGACGAGACGAGACGAGGAGGAAGAAGGAGAAUGUUUUAUUUUAAAGAAUUGGUGAUGAUGGAAGGUUGGAUUUGGAAGGGGUUUUAUAUGCAUGCUUUCUAAGUGAGUGAAAGUGAUAAAUGCAUAUUCAAAUUUUCUUUUCCUUUUCCUAAAAAAAGAGUCCAUGUACUUGACUACUUUCAUUAUUUGGUAGCAGAAGAACUGGAUUUUGCUAGAUUCAUGUGCUCUCUGUGAUUAAGUUGGACCUUUUUUAAUUAAUGUGAAUUGGAAGAUUAUUGUUAAUUGAUGCAUGAAAUGUUUGACGAGUGAAUUCCUAGGUAGCUAAAACAUCUGACUUAUAUAUGUUGGGGAAAUGGAAAAAAAGAAAUGAAUAGUCUUGAAUUUUUUAAUAUGUGUUUGUUUUUGUUUGGUUCUAGAAUGGGAAUGCACUUAUUUUGCCCAUACAAACAUUUGGAAAAUUUAUAUUUGGGCCUUAUAUAAUUCCAAGAUCAUUUAUGGUUUGCUUGAUGAACUAAGAAUAGAAGAAGGUAAAGAUGAGAAAUUGCAAGAGAUUGUUGAGAAAGUUUGUGCUCAAAAUUGAGAGAGGUAUAUUACAAGGUAAUUUUUCUUUUGGCAUUGUAAAUGCAAAUGCUUUUGUACGUUUACAAAAAAUGUUGUGGAUGUUUGCAUUUGCUGCUAGUACUCUUGGAGAUGAUGCAUUGUGUUCGUUAGCAGAAAGGGCUACAUUAGUGUCCCGCGGAAACACAGCCCGGGUGCACGGGGACGCAAGCUGGCUC
This 1404-nucleotide long non-coding RNA is filed under the name Salvia miltiorrhiza (redroot sage). RNAcentral describes it as "long non-coding RNA (SMIL_LNC009379)". The record is from RNAcentral. Lineage: Eukaryota; Viridiplantae; Streptophyta; Magnoliopsida; Lamiales; Lamiaceae.